RNAcentral lists this ribosomal RNA (230 nucleotides) under uncultured Anaerolineaceae bacterium. RNAcentral's name for it is "partial 16S ribosomal RNA". It matches the Rfam family "Bacterial small subunit ribosomal RNA", at positions 1156 to 1382 of the family's 1533-position model. Lineage: Bacteria; Bacillati; Chloroflexota; Anaerolineae; Anaerolineales; Anaerolineaceae. The record is from RNAcentral.
CCAUAAACCGGAGGAAGGUGGGGAGUGACGUCAAGUCAGCAUGGCCUUUAUAUCCUGGGCUACACACACGCUACAAUGGGAAGGGACAAUAGGUUGCGAAGCCGCGAGGCGGAGCCAAUCCAGCAAAACUUCCCUCAGUUCAGAUUGCAGGCUGCAACUCGCCUGCAUGAAGUUGGAGUUGCUAGUAAACGCAGGUCAGCCAUACUGCGUUGAAUACGUUCCCGGGGCUU